UCUAAAGAUGAGGACGAGGAAGAGGGCAGCUCUGGGUUAAUGAGGGUUGCAGACCCUGUAGCAUCUGAAAUCCAGCGCAGCCAUGGUCAGACAGGGGGUCCCUGCAAUCGAGCCGGCAGGGACGUGCCGUCGGCCCUGCCUUAAAUCGGAAAGUCCAGCGCGGCCGCAGCCGUGUCAGGCCGGGUCUCGGAGGCAGCGGUCUCCGCCCCCAGCCGGGCGGAGCUCUGAGAGGCGCGGGCUCGGUCGCCCAGGCUGCCCGCUCGGCCUGGUGUUCUGGGCCGUGGCUGGAUGUUGGGCCCAGUUCGCGCGCGUUUCGGAUGAAACAUUCACUGCGGACGUGAGGUAUUAGUCAAGAUUUUCCCAGUUCUUGGUCUGACACAUGAUUUCCAGUUGCACCUUUGAAAUUUUCGGUAUUAGGAGACUGGAUCUUAUUUAGAUCUGUUUAAGGAAGUCUCCUCUGACUUGCUGUUGUGGUUGAGGAAGAAGGAGGUGCUGCUUGCUACUGCCAUGUGGGGGUGAAGGUCCAGGCUCCCCACUUGGCCUCCGCUAAUGCCCCGGGAGGAGAGGAGAGCUGCAGUACUACCAGGUGGAGAUUGCAGGCUCCUUGAGGACACGCACCAGUUCUGCUGGUCGCAGCAUUCAUUCCCAGUGUCUUUUGUGGCACCUGAGCCUGAGGAGAUGUUCCUAGCUAAUCUGGAACCCAGAGAACACCCUUGGCCCCAUUCCAGGAAUGAGGAGAACUUCAUGGGAAGUGGGGAAGAGAAGUGGGCAAGCAAGUCUCCUGAUCGUUUGGGCUGCGAAUGAGAACUGUGUGUAAACUGGAGCAGAAGGAGCUGUCUACUGCUGGGUGUGCCUGGCUGCAGCCAGGGUGAGCGGGGCCGGUUAGAGGGGACUUUUUCAGGAAAGGGAAUAGCGGCCUUGCUCUGGGACAAAUCCUGUAUUGCUUUUUUCUCAAAUAAUUGUAAUCUGGUAGCAUGAAGGCUGUACCUUUUGUUUCCCUUUUACCUUGUAUGUGAAAUGAAACAUUUAAAAUGAACCCCCUGAAAAUUUAGAAGGCAAAUAAAGCAAUCCUGCUAAUUUAAUGAA
Long non-coding RNA from Hipposideros armiger (great roundleaf bat), 1086 nucleotides. RefSeq lists it as uncharacterized. Lineage: Eukaryota; Metazoa; Chordata; Mammalia; Chiroptera; Hipposideridae. The record is from RefSeq and is a predicted model, not a curated record. The transcript is spliced from 3 exons.